Molecule: transfer RNA, 72 nt
Filed under: Bos taurus (domestic cattle)
Lineage: Eukaryota; Metazoa; Chordata; Mammalia; Artiodactyla; Bovidae
Also listed under: 1 other name
Rfam family: tRNA
About the family: Transfer RNA (tRNA) molecules are approximately 80 nucleotides in length. Their secondary structure includes four short double-helical elements and three loops (D, anti-codon, and T loops).
Source: Rfam by way of RNAcentral
UCCCAGGUGGUCUUGUGGUUAGGAUCUGGCAUUUUCACUGCUGUGGUCCAGGUUCAAUCCCUGGUCAAGGAA